Molecule: non-coding RNA, 202 nt
Organism: Pelobates cultripes (western spadefoot toad)
Lineage: Eukaryota; Metazoa; Chordata; Amphibia; Anura; Pelobatidae
Source: the annotation of a GenBank genome assembly
AAACCAGAAAAACACGAUCAGGAACACACUCUCGGAUAAGCAUCAAAGGGAAACCAGGACAGGGCACUGAUCAAAAGGCAAUUUGGGUUUAAAUAACCCGCUAGAAGCUGUAAUUGGCUGUAUGUGUCCUCUGACACUAAAACAUGCGUGCACGUCUAUGAUGCGACGUCACACGUAAGCACCAUCUUUAAAAUGGACAAAG